Long non-coding RNA from Diachasmimorpha longicaudata, 368 nucleotides. RefSeq lists it as uncharacterized. The transcript has 2 exons. The record is from RefSeq and is a predicted model, not a curated record. Lineage: Eukaryota; Metazoa; Arthropoda; Insecta; Hymenoptera; Braconidae.
UGAAAACAUGCUGUGAUAAAUUCAGACCGAAAUUCAUAGUAUUUGAUAAGUUACAGCUCAUAGUCGCCGACGUAUCGUAAGCGAUUGUCUACCAGGCUUUAAACUUUAAACGCGUUUUUCUCGAAUCAUCAUUUUCUGAAAUGGUCAAGAUCCUACAAGAAAAAACAACAUGAACAGCCGCUAUCACCUUGACCAGUGAACUACCUUUUUUUGUUGGGGACUACUUUGACUUAAAAAAAAUAUAUGUUAAAAAUGUAAAAAACGAAAAAAAAAAUUUUUUUUCGUAUAUUUCAAAAUACAAAUAAAAAUAUAUUGAAAAAUCAACAUGAUUGAAGUUUGUUGUCGCAUAAAAAAAAAAUACCGAAAAA